AGAGUUUGAUCCUGGCUCAGAACGAACGCUGGCGGCGUGGAUAAGACAUGCAAGUCGAACGAGAGAAUUGCUAGCUUGCUAAUAAUUCUCUAGUGGCGCACGGGUGAGUAACACGUGAGUAACCUGCCCCCGAGAGCGGGAUAGCCCUGGGAAACUGGGAUUAAUACCGCAUAGUAUCGAAAGAUUAAAGCAGCAAUGCGCUUGGGGAUGGGCUCGCGGCCUAUUAGUUAGUUGGUGAGGUAACGGCUCACCAAGGCGAUGACGGGUAGCCGGUCUGAGAGGAUGUCCGGCCACACUGGAACUGAGACACGGUCCAGACACCUACGGGUGGCAGCAGUCGAGAAUCAUUCACAAUGGGGGAAACCCUGAUGGUGCGACGCCGCGUGGGGGAAUGAAGGUCUUCGGAUUGUAAACCCCUGUCAUGUGGGAGCAAAUUAAAAAGAUAGUACCAUAAGAGGAAGAGACGGCUAACUCUGUGCCAGCAGCCGCGGUAAUACAGAGGUCUCAAGCGUUGUUCGGAAUCACUGGGCGUAAAGCGUGCGUAGGCUGUUUCGUAAGUCGUGUGUGAAAGGCGCGGGCUCAACCCGCGGACGGCACAUGAUACUGCGAGACUAGAGUAAUGGAGGGGGAACCGGAAUUCUCGGUGUAGCAGUGAAAUGCGUAGAUAUCGAGAGGAACACUCGUGGCGAAGGCGUGUUCCUGGACAUUAACUGACGCUGAGGCACGAAGGCCAGGGGAGCGAAAGGGAUUAGAUACCCCUGUAGUCCUGGCAGUAAACGGUGCACGCUUGGUGUGCGGGGAAUCGACCCCCUGCGUGCCGGAGCUAACGCGUUAAGCGUGCCGCCUGGGGAGUACGGUCGCAAGAUUAAAACUCAAAGAAAUUGACGGGGACCCGCACAAGCGGUGGAGUAUGUGGCUUAAUUCGAUGCAACGCGAAGAACCUUACCUGGGCUUGACAUGUAAUGAACAACAUGUGAAAGCAUGCGACUCUUCGGAGGCGUUACACAGGUGCUGCAUGGCCGUCGUCAGCUCGUGUCGUGAGAUGUUUGGUUAAGUCCAGCAACGAGCGCAACCCCUGUUGCCAGUUACCAGCACGUGAAGGUGGGGACUCUGGCGAGACUGCCCAGAUCAACUGGGAGGAAGGUGGGGACGACGUCAGGUCAGUAUGGCCCUUAUGCCCAGGGCUGCACGCGUACUACAAUGCCCAGUACAGAGGGGGCCGAAGCCGCGAGGCGGAGGAAAUCCUAAAAACUGGGCCCAG
RNAcentral lists this ribosomal RNA (1261 nucleotides) under metagenome. Its description in RNAcentral is "bacterial SSU rRNA". It matches the Rfam family "Bacterial small subunit ribosomal RNA", at positions 8 to 1291 of the family's 1533-position model. The record is from RNAcentral.